RNAcentral lists this ribosomal RNA (372 nucleotides) under uncultured bacterium. RNAcentral's name for it is "bacterial SSU rRNA". It matches the Rfam family "Bacterial small subunit ribosomal RNA", at positions 78 to 451 of the family's 1533-position model. The record is from RNAcentral.
CUUCGGACCGGGCCAGUGGCGCAAGGGUGAGUAAGGCGACGGUAACCAACCCCACGGUCGGGUAUAGCCGCGGGAAACUGCGGGUAAUCCCCAGCGACGUAGGAUGUCGGCAUCGAUGUCCUACCAAAGCUCCGGCGCCGUGGGACGGGCCGUCGUGGUAUUAGGUCGUUGGCGGGGUAACGGCCCACCAAGCCUGUGAUGCCUACCGGGCGUGCGAGCGCGGCCCGGCACACUGGGACUGAGACACUGCCCAGACUCCUACGGGAGGCUGCAGUCGAGAAUCUUCGGCAAUGGGCGCAAGCCUGACCGAGCGACGCCGCGUGGAGGACGAAGGCCUUCGGGUUGUAAACUCCCUGUCGAGGGGGAGGAAGG